Non-coding RNA from Pelobates cultripes (western spadefoot toad), 203 nucleotides. Lineage: Eukaryota; Metazoa; Chordata; Amphibia; Anura; Pelobatidae. The record is from the annotation of a GenBank genome assembly.
CUGGCAUCUGCCAAAUCCAGAUUCACUCAUCAGACUGCCUAACAGAGAAGUAUGAUUCAUCACUCCAGAGAACAUCUGUCCAGUGGUGGCAUGCUUUACACUUCUCAAUCGGACCCUUGGUAUUGUACUUGUUGAUGUGAAGCUUGAAUGCAGCUGCUUGGCCAUGGAAGCCCAUUCCGUGAAGCUCCCGCUGCUCAGUUUUU